Long non-coding RNA from Oryzias latipes (Japanese medaka), 1320 nucleotides. RefSeq lists it as uncharacterized. Lineage: Eukaryota; Metazoa; Chordata; Actinopteri; Beloniformes; Adrianichthyidae. The record is from RefSeq and is a predicted model, not a curated record.
GGGUCACGUGACGUGCCUUUCUCUUUUUUUCCUGUGGAAAAUCUCGUAAAAAGCCAGUGAACGCAGCGUCAUACGGGCACCCCCACCCCACUCCCCCGGAAACCCCCGGAUGAACCCGCAGGAAGGCGCGCGGCUGAAGAACUCUUGGACAGCUGGAAGGCAGCAGGAUCACGGUGAAGGCCUCUUCUGUAUAGAGGACGUGGGCGGAAACGUCACGUGGUCUCCGCAGAGAAUCCUGGAGAUGGGAGAUGUGGAGUAGGUAAGUUUGUGGCAGCACCAGAGUCCUCCAAAAAGUCUUCUGGCAAAGUAAAUGAGGAAGGAUCGCAGUCUGCCAUCGUGGAGUUUUGCUGAAAGGCCUGAACACGUUCCAUCCAUGCAUCCAUCUUCUUCCAUUCAUCAGGAACCAGGUUGUGAGGGCAGCAGUCUAAGCAAAGAUGCCCACACUUCGCUCUCCUCCAGCUCCUCUUGGGGGACCCCGGGGCCAGCUGAGAGACGUAGUCUCCCCAGCGUGUCCUGGGUCUCCCUUAGGGCCUCUGCCCUUAUUCCUGUUGGAGUUUUUUUCUAACCCCUUAUGUUUCAAAAGUUUGCAAACAUACAUUUUGGUUGAAAUGAUGAGGAUCCGAGGAUGAAAUCAAGAAGGGACAACAUCAGGGAAAGGGACUGAACCGACUGAACAGCUUCCUCUCUUCAGCAGACACAUGUUCAGAGUACAUAUGUGUCAAAAACUGACAUCCUCACCAUUCAGGCCGGUGGCUGGAACAAGCGGAAGUCAGAAAAGCUGGAGCAGACGUGACCAGAAUGAUACCUCCAGGACCAAUCAAAAUGACCCAGAGAAAAACACUGAAGGGCUUUGUCUGAGCAUCAGGAAAACAAGAAUCAGCUGUCAUCAACAUAUGGUGGAUAAAGGUGGAAAGAUUUCAUGUAAUCAAUGGACACCAGUGAAGAUCACAAAUCAUUGAAGAAAAAAGGUUCAGAGCACUGUCUAGUGGGUCUAGAUGACCCCACUCCCAAUGGUUAUGGUGCCAUGGUAAAGAACUAAAGGCUCUAUGAUGUCAUGCUGCUGACCAGACUGUGGUUGGUGAAGUCCAGCAGCACUGCAGGUCCUUGAAGUGUGGUUGAAGAGCUCUCCUCCCAUCUUUUGGAAGGUUCUGCCCCGCAAAGCAGCACAGAGUCAUUGAUGGAGAGAGAACAUGAGGGACUAAUUGUCUGCUGAGGAGGAGACUUUCUGCAGUUCAAGCCCCAGCUCCACCCCUAAAAAAAGGCUUAUAUAAAGGAAAACCUCAUUUCAACUUUGUACCAAUAAAUGAAUUUUAAUUGAAA